UACGAAGGGGGCUAGCGUUGCUCGGAAUGACUGGGCGUAAAGGGCGCGUAGGCGGUUCAUACAGUCAGAUGUGAAAUUCCCGGGCUUAACCUGGGGGCUGCAUUUGAUACGUGUGGGCUUGAGUGAGGAAGAGGGUUGUGGAAUUCCCAGUGUAGAGGUGAAAUUCGUAGAUAUUGGGAAGAACACCGAUGGCGAAGGCGGCAUCCUGGUCCUUUACUGACGCUGAGGCGCGAAAGCGUGGGGAGCGAACAGG
RNAcentral lists this ribosomal RNA (253 nucleotides) under uncultured bacterium. RNAcentral describes it as "partial 16S ribosomal RNA". It matches the Rfam family "Bacterial small subunit ribosomal RNA", at positions 524 to 776 of the family's 1533-position model. The record is from RNAcentral.